GAGUUUGAUUAUGGCUCAGGAUGAACGCUAGCGGGAGGCCUAACACAUGCAAGCCGAGCGGGAUUUGUUGGUUAGCUUGCUAACUAACAAUGAGAGCGGCGUACGGGUGCGUAACACGUGUGCAACCUGCCUUUAUCUGGGGGAUAGCCUUUCGAAAGGAAGAUUAAUACCCCAUAAUAUAUUGAUUGGCAUCAGUUAAUAUUGAAAGCUCCGGCGGAUAGAGAUGGGCACGCGUAAGAUUAGCUAGUUGGUGAGGUAACGGCUCACCAAGGCUGCGAUCUUUAGGGGGCCUGAGAGGGUGAUCCCCCACACUGGUACUGAGACACGGACCAGACUCCUACGGGAGGCAGCAGUGAGGAAUAUUGGACAAUGGGUGAGAGCCUGAUCCAGCCAUCCCGCGUGAAGGACUAAGGACCUAUGGUUUGUAAACUUCUUUUAUACAGGGAUAAACCU
This 453-nucleotide ribosomal RNA is filed under the name Bergeyella zoohelcum. RNAcentral's name for it is "bacterial SSU rRNA". It matches the Rfam family "Bacterial small subunit ribosomal RNA", at positions 9 to 453 of the family's 1533-position model. Lineage: Bacteria; Pseudomonadati; Bacteroidota; Flavobacteriia; Flavobacteriales; Weeksellaceae. The record is from RNAcentral.